CGCAAUGGGCGAAAGCCUGACGGAGCAAUACCGCGUGAGGGAGGAAGGCUCUUGGGUUGUAAACCUCAAAACUUAGGGAAGAAGAAAAUGACGGUACCUAAUGUAAGCAUCGGCUAACUCCGUGCCAGCAGCCGCGGUAAUACGGAGGAUGCAAGCGUUAUCCGGAAUCAUUGGGCGUAAAGAGUCCGUAGGUGGCACUUCAAGUCUGCUUUCAAAGACCGAAGCUCAACUUCGGAAAGGGGGUGGAAACUGAAGAGCUAGAGUAUAGUAGGGGUAGAGGGAAUUCCUAGUGUAGCGGUGAAAUGCGUAGAGAUUAGGAAGAACACCAGUGGCGAAGGCGCUCUACUGGGC
This 351-nucleotide ribosomal RNA is filed under the name Cyanobacterium aponinum K26. Its description in RNAcentral is "bacterial SSU rRNA". It matches the Rfam family "Bacterial small subunit ribosomal RNA", at positions 367 to 734 of the family's 1533-position model. The record is from RNAcentral. Lineage: Bacteria; Bacillati; Cyanobacteriota; Cyanophyceae; Chroococcales; Geminocystaceae.